Molecule: ribosomal RNA, 469 nt
Filed under: uncultured bacterium
Lineage: Bacteria
Description: partial 16S ribosomal RNA
Rfam family: Bacterial small subunit ribosomal RNA
Source: RNAcentral
GACGAACGCUGGCGGCGUGCUUAACACAUGCAAGUCGAACGGAAAGGCCCUGCUUUUGUGGGGUGCUCGAGUGGCGAACGGGUGAGUAACACGUGAGUAACCUGCCCUUGACUUUGGGAUAACUUCAGGAAACUGGGGCUAAUACCGGAUAGGAGCUCCUGCUGCAUGGUGGGGGUUGGAAAGUUUCGGCGGUUGGGGAUGGACUCGCGGCUUAUCAGCUUGUUGGUGGGGUAGUGGCUUACCAAGGCUUUGACGGGUAGCCGGCCUGAGAGGGUGACCGGCCACAUUGGGACUGAGAUACGGCCCAGACUCCUACGGGAGGCAGCAGUGGGGAAUAUUGCACAAUGGGCGGAUGCCUGAUGCAGCAACGCCGCGUGCGGGAUGACGGCCUUCGGGUUGUAAACCGCGUUCGCCUGUGACGAAGCGUGAGUGACGGUAAUGGGUAAAGAAGCACCGGCUAACUACGUGC